RNAcentral lists this ribosomal RNA (253 nucleotides) under uncultured bacterium. RNAcentral's name for it is "partial 16S ribosomal RNA". It matches the Rfam family "Bacterial small subunit ribosomal RNA", at positions 524 to 776 of the family's 1533-position model. The record is from RNAcentral.
UACGGAGGAUCCAAGCGUUAUCCGGAUUUAUUGGGUUUAAAGGGUGCGUAGGCGGCCUAUUAAGUCAGGGGUGAAAGACGGUAGCUUAACUAUCGCAGUGCCUUUGAUACUGAUGGGCUUGAAUGUACUUGAGGUAGGCGGAAUGUGACAAGUAGCGGUGAAAUGCAUAGAUAUGUCACAGAACACCAAUUGCGAAGGCAGCUCGCUACACGAAUAUUGACUCUGAGGCACGAAAGCGUGGGGAUCAAACAGG